UGUUCUACUGCAACAUGUGUUGCAAGAAAUGUUUGUGUGUCCCCUCAGGCACAUAUGGUAACAAGGAGGAAUGCCCAUGCUACAACGACUGGAAGACUAAGGAAGGAGGAAUGCCCAUGCUACAACGAUUGGAAGACUAAGGAAGGCAAGCCCAAGUGCCCUUGA
Long non-coding RNA from Telopea speciosissima, 165 nucleotides. RefSeq lists it as uncharacterized. The transcript has 2 exons. NCBI's taxonomy places the organism in Eukaryota, Viridiplantae, Streptophyta, Magnoliopsida, Proteales, Proteaceae. The record is from RefSeq and is a predicted model, not a curated record.